UUGUUGCGGUUAAAAGCUCGUAGUUGGAUUUCUGUUGAAGUCAGCCGGUGCACACCUCGUGUGUUAUUUGGCCUGGCUUUGGCAUCCUCUGGGGGAACGUUUCUCCACUUAAUUGGACAGGGCGAGAUUCCAGACUUUUACUUUGAGGAAAUUAGAGUGUUCACGGCAGGCAAGUGCUUUCAAUACAUUAGCAUGGAAUAAUAAUAUAGGACCUUCGUUCUAUUUUGUUGGUUUCUAGAACUUAGGUAAUGAUUAAUAGGGACAAUUGGGGGCAUUCGUAUUAACGCGUCAGAGGUGGAAUUCUUGGAUUGCGUUACGACGAACUACUGCGAAAGCAUUUGCCAAAGAUGUUUUCAUUGAUCAAGAACGAAAGUAUGGGGAUCGAAGACGCUUAGAUACCGUCUUUUUUUAUACCAUAAACUAUGCCAACUAGGGAUGUUACGGGUACUCUUUUAUGGCUCGUUGCGCACCUUAUGAGAAAUCAAAGUUUUUGGGUUCCGGGGGGAGGAUUGUCGCAAGGCCGAAACUUUUUAGGAAUUGACGGAAGGGCACCACCAGGAGUGGAGCCUGCGGCUUAAUUUGACUCAACACGGGAAAACUCACCCAGGUCCAGACAUAGUGAGGAUUGACAGAUUG
Molecule: ribosomal RNA, 636 nt
Filed under: uncultured Syndiniales
Lineage: Eukaryota; Dinophyceae; Syndiniales
Description: SSU rRNA
Rfam family: Eukaryotic small subunit ribosomal RNA
Source: RNAcentral